Molecule: small RNA, 1544 nt
Filed under: Rattus norvegicus (Norway rat)
Lineage: Eukaryota; Metazoa; Chordata; Mammalia; Rodentia; Muridae
Description: uncharacterized LOC108352329
Source: RNAcentral
AGUCAAGAAAUAAGGAAGGAAAGAAGGAAGAAAGAGAAGACUAGAAUUUGACCUAAGUUUACACUGAAGUUGGUAGGGUUGUUAGAGGAAUAUUGAGAGCAGAAGAGGUCCUGAUGUCUCCCUUUCUAGAUUGUAAGUGUUCAGGAAGGGCCUCGAACUUGAACAAAACCGAAGUCUCAGCAGUUAUGAAAUCGAAGCAGUUCCCUUAGUGUGUUGUGUUGUCAUUGGAGAAUAAAGAGGUCUUGUUUCCUUUUCACUCAUUGGUGCUUCCUUGGGAUCUUCCAAUGCCACUUCUACUAAAUGUCUUGUCUUCUAAUUUCUAAUCAUACAGUUCGCAUGCAACAUGAAGCCUCUGUGAAGGUUUUAGACUUCCUGGUUCCUCCGAGCACUCUUUAUGAAGAUGAGCAACAGACAAGCAAUUAUGACGUCGCCACCCAUAAAACAUAGGAAGCUACUUUUGUGACCUCAUCAUGAAUUCUGAAACGUGUUAGUGACUCGGAUGCCCUCAUUACUGAAAGUUACAGUGCGAUGUCUGACUGUUCAGCGAAAAUGAAGAAUGGUGAAAACGCAAAUCCCUCAGCAUUCACGGUACAGACUUAAUGAUGGAAAAGACCCAGUUGGCUUUGAUACCACUGGGAUUGAAAUUUCAGACUCGGAGGAUGACUCACUGCUUUGCUGUGUCAUGAGUUUCAUUCUGAAAUGAAAUACACUCUGUGGUUUCAUUUGAGGCUUCGUGUUGAUGCAAAAAGGAAAUGAGCCCAUAUUGGGAAGUUGGGUUGAAAUACACAUGUUGUACCAAGUUGUUACCCGGCCAUCCUUACGCCCUGUGCUUUGGUCUUACCACACUGUUUUAGCAUCAGUUCACACCUAUCAGUCUUCCUCCCUUGUCUGGGAAUUGGGUUAAGCAACUAGAAUGUGUGCAGAGAGCAGCCUGGGAAUGAAGCACCAAUUAUCAUCUCUGUGUGGAUGAUGUCCUGGCCUCAGACCUUCCUGGGUUGGUACUGAGGUGAGAAUGUUCAUCUUUAUGGCAUGCCCACUCUCCAGUCUUGUUUUACGAAAGCCAUUUUACAGUGUUACCUUAUAAUAGUUACAUCUUCAAGCUUGGAUAUUCUCCCAAGACCAAUGAGUAGUGAGAACUGGGAAGAGGAGUAGAAGUAAAGUUGUAGUGGAGAAUGAAAAGAAAUCAAAACAAAGCCACCAAGACCUUCUACAUGCUAGGGAACACUCUAAUACUAGGCUAUACCUUCAUUUCCAAAUAUCGGUCUUUUAUAAAUGUAGUUAAGGAUUUCAAACUUAUUUCCACAUUUUUGAGUAUGUUUGAAGUUCCAGAGAACUCUGAGGGUGGUUGAUUUCCAAGACUGUCAGGGUGAGAGGUACCAGGCCAGAAAGAGAACAAAAAUAAAUCCUGUAUUUAACAAAAUCAACCAAGUUGUUCCCCUUAGUGUUUUGAUAGACAACUUUUCAUUCAAAGCCAGACUAACACUGGUUUUCCUCUUACUCUGAGACCCCAGGGAAGUCACUUGAUCCAUUACUUAUUUGUUUAU